Molecule: ribosomal RNA, 446 nt
Filed under: uncultured bacterium
Lineage: Bacteria
Description: bacterial SSU rRNA
Rfam family: Bacterial small subunit ribosomal RNA
Source: RNAcentral
UCCAGACUCCUACGGGAGGCAGCAGUGGGGAAUAUUGCACAAUGGGGGAAACCCUGAUGCAGCGACGCCGCGUGAGUGAAGAAGUAAUUCGUUAUGUAAAGCUCUAUCAGCAGGGAAGAAAAUGACGGUACCUGAGUAAGAAGCCCCGGCUAACUACGUGCCAGCAGCCGCGGUAAUACGUAGGGGGCAAGCGUUAUCCGGAUUUACUGGGUGUAAAGGGAGCGUAGACGGCAGUGCAAGUCAGAUGUGAAAACCACGGGCUCAACCUGUGGCCUGCAUUUGAAACUGUACUUCUUGAGUACUGGAGAGGCAGACGGAAUUCCUAGUGUAGCGGUGAAAUGCGUAGAUAUUAGGAGGAACACCAGUGGCGAAGGCGGUCUGCUGGACAGCAACUGACGCUGAGGCGCGAAAGCGUGGGGAGCAAACAGGAUUAGAUACCCCCGUAC